RNAcentral lists this ribosomal RNA (201 nucleotides) under Triticum aestivum (bread wheat). Its description in RNAcentral is "partial small subunit ribosomal RNA". The record is from RNAcentral. Lineage: Eukaryota; Viridiplantae; Streptophyta; Magnoliopsida; Poales; Poaceae.
AUGGGGCGCGGCAAGGUGGAGCUGAAGCGGAUCGACAACAAGAGCAGCCGGCAGGUGACGUUCGCCAAGCGCCGCAACGGGCUGCUCAAGAAGGCGUACGAGCUGUCGGUGCUCUGCGACGCCGAGGUCGCGCUCAUCAUCUUCUCCACCCGCGGCCGCCUCUUCGAGUUCUCCACAUCCUCAUGGUACCACCACAUCUGA